Long non-coding RNA from Tupaia belangeri chinensis (Chinese tree shrew), 215 nucleotides. RefSeq lists it as uncharacterized. The record is from RefSeq and is a predicted model, not a curated record. Lineage: Eukaryota; Metazoa; Chordata; Mammalia; Scandentia; Tupaiidae. The transcript is spliced from 3 exons.
AGGAUUUUGAAAACUAAAGGAAUCAACAAGUAUUUCAUUAAUAAGAAUACUGGCCAGCCUCAUCGCACAGCAGGUCAGCCACAUAGGAGGCCUCUGAUGGGACCAUCUAACUCCAGGAAAGUGAGCUCAGAGCUCCCACUGACUGCAUUAUGCCACAAAGAGAAGAGUCUAAAGAAGUCGGCAAGAAACUGAGGGCACGAGAGAAAGCAUAGAAC